GCUCAGAAUGAACGCUGGCGGCGUGCCUAACACAUGCAAGUCGGAUGUGCCGCAAGGUGCAUGGCAGACGGGUGAGUAACGCGUGGGGAACCUACCUCUUUGUGGGGAAUAACGCUCCGAAAGGAGUGGUAAUACCGCAUGAGACCAUCGGCUGGGAUGCUGGUGGUGAAAGCUGGGGACCGUAAGGCCCAGCGCAAGGAGAGGGUCCUGCGUCUGAUUAGCUAGUUGGUGGGGUAACGGCCUACCAAGGCAUCGAUCAGUAGCCGGCCUGAGAGGGUGAUCGGCCACACUGGAACUGAGACACGGUCCAGACUCCUACGGGAGGCAGCAGUGGGGAAUUUUGCGCAAUGGGCGAAAGCCUGACGCAGCAACGCCGCGUGGGUGAUGAAGGUCUUCGGAUCGUAAAACCCUGUCGUCAGGGACGAAGGUCGCAUGUCUAAUAGAUGUGUGGCUUGACGGUACCUGGAGAGGAAGCCCCGGCUAACUCUGUGCCAGCAGCCGCGGUAAUACAGAGGGGGCAAGCGUUAUUCGGAAUUAUUGGGCGUAAAGGGUGCGUAGGCGGUGGUUUAAGUGAGAUGUGUAAUCCCCGAGCUUAACUUGGGAACUGCAUCUCAGACUGGAUCGCUAGAGUGCUGGAGAGGGUGGUAGAAUUCCACGUGUAGCGGUGAAAUGCGUAGAGAUGUGGAGGAAUACCAGUGGCGAAGGCGGCCACCUGGACAGUAACUGACGCUGAGGCACGAAAGUGUGGGUAGCAAACAGGAUUAGAUACCCUGGUAGUCCACGCUGUAAACGAUGAACACUUGGUGUGGUGGGAGUUGACCCCUGCCGUGCCGUAGCUAACGCGAUAAGUGUUCCGCCUGGGAAGUACGGU
RNAcentral lists this ribosomal RNA (871 nucleotides) under uncultured bacterium. RNAcentral describes it as "bacterial SSU rRNA". It matches the Rfam family "Bacterial small subunit ribosomal RNA", at positions 22 to 886 of the family's 1533-position model. The record is from RNAcentral.